AUUCAAACUGUGUUCAGGGACUGUUUCAUUUACCUCUGCUGUCUGAUCCACCAUGAAGCUGUAUGUGAUCGUUCCUCUGUGUGCUCUGUUCACCCUCACCCAACAGGUGCACCAUGAUUAUAAGAGUGGAAGAUCUUCAUGUUCACCAGUCACACUGUAAAGAAACAAAUGAAGUCCGUCAACUGCUCACCAUAAUGCAGUAAAACUCAGGAGGAAGUGCCUGCACACAUCUCUUUUGUGGCAAUGGGCAUUUAUGAUUUGGGACAUUUCAGAUUAAAGCUGCAACAAUCAGUCAAUUAAGCAAUUAGUUGUAAAUUAUUUCAAUUAACUAAACUAAAUAAUAAAAUUUGCUAUUUUGAAUUUAUAGUUUUGAGUCAUUUUUAAACAUAAAUCUAAAUUUUCUGAUUUCAGCUUUUCAAAAUGUGAACAAUUCUAAUCCAAAGACAGACAGACAUGCUUGAGUUAUUUGUUUUCAAUACUGGUCAGUGCUUUUUUUACUCCAGUGGCUGAGCCAAU
Molecule: long non-coding RNA, 516 nt
Organism: Dicentrarchus labrax (European seabass)
Lineage: Eukaryota; Metazoa; Chordata; Actinopteri; Moronidae
Exons: 3
Source: RefSeq, a predicted model, not a curated record